Molecule: ribosomal RNA, 253 nt
Filed under: uncultured bacterium
Lineage: Bacteria
Description: partial 16S ribosomal RNA
Rfam family: Bacterial small subunit ribosomal RNA
Source: RNAcentral
UACGGGGGGGGCAAGCGUUGUUCGGAAUUACUGGGCGUAAAGGGCGCGUAGGCGGUGCUCUAAGUUAGAUGUGAAAACUCUGGGCUCAACCCAGAGCCUGCAUCUAAAACUGGAGUGCUAGAGUUCUGGAGGGGGUAGCGGAAUUCCUGGUGUAGCGGUGAAAUGCGUAGAUAUCUGGAGGAACACCGGUGGCGAAGGCGGCGUCCUGGACCAACACUGACACUGAUGAGCGAAAGCCAGGGGAGCAAACGGG